CCUACGGGUGGCUGCAGUGGGGGAUAUUGCACAAUGGGGGAAACCCUGAUGCAGCGACGCCGCGUGGGUGAAGAAGCGCCUCGGCGCGUAAAGCCCUGUCAGCAGGGAAGAAAAUGACGGUACCUGAAGAAGAAGCCCCGUCUAACUACGUGCCAGCAGCCGCGGUAAUACGUAGGGGGCAAGCGUUAUCCGGAUUUACGGGGUGUAAAGGGGGCGCAGACGGCGAUGCAAGCCAGGAGUGAAAGCCUGGGGCCCAACCCCGGGACUGCUAUUGGAACUGGGUGGCUAGAGUGCAGGAGGGGCAGGCGGAAUUCGUGGUGUAGCGGUGAAAUGCGUAGAUAGCAGGAGGAACACCGGUGGCGAAGGCGGCCUGCUGGACUGCAACUGACAUUGAGGCCCGAAAGCGUGGGGAGCAAACAGGAUUAGAUACCCGAGUAGUC
RNAcentral lists this ribosomal RNA (440 nucleotides) under uncultured bacterium. RNAcentral's name for it is "partial 16S ribosomal RNA". It matches the Rfam family "Bacterial small subunit ribosomal RNA", at positions 338 to 795 of the family's 1533-position model. The record is from RNAcentral.